UGCCAGCCGCCGCGGUAAUACGGAGGGUGCAAGCGUUGUUCGGAUUUACUGGGCGUAAAGGGCGCGUAGGCGGUCUGUUAAGCUAGAGGUGAAAUCCCGGGGCUCAACCCCGGAACUGCUUCUGGAACUGGCAGACUAGAGAUAGGUAGAGGCAGGUGGAAUUCCAGGUGUAGAGGUGAAAUUCGUAGAUAUUACACGGAAGGCCGGAGCCGAAGGGGGCUCUCUGGGACACAACUGACGCUGAGGAACGAAAGCGUGGGGAGCAAACAGGAUUAGAUA
Molecule: ribosomal RNA, 279 nt
Filed under: uncultured bacterium
Lineage: Bacteria
Description: partial 16S ribosomal RNA
Rfam family: Bacterial small subunit ribosomal RNA
Source: RNAcentral